RNAcentral lists this ribosomal RNA (391 nucleotides) under Enterococcus faecalis. Its description in RNAcentral is "bacterial SSU rRNA". It matches the Rfam family "Bacterial small subunit ribosomal RNA", at positions 1132 to 1524 of the family's 1533-position model. The record is from RNAcentral. Lineage: Bacteria; Bacillati; Bacillota; Bacilli; Lactobacillales; Enterococcaceae.
UGGGCACUCUAGCGAGACUGCCGGUGACAAACCGGAGGAAGGUAGGGAUGACGUCAAAUCAUCAUGCCCCUUAUGACCUGGGCUACACACGUGCUACAAUGGGAAGUACAACGAGUAGCUAGACCGCGAGGUCAUGCAAAUCUCUUAAAGCUUCUCUCAGUUCGGAUUGCAGGCUGCAACUCGCCUGGAUGAAGCCGGAAUCGCUAGUAAUCGCGGAUCACACGCCGCGGUGAAUACGUUCCCGGGCCUUGUACACACCGCCCGUCACACCACGAGAGUUUGUAACACCCGAAGUCGGUGAGGUAACCUUUUUGGAGCCCAGCCGGCUAAGGUGGGAAAGAUGAUUGGGGUGAAGUCGUAAUCGAAGUAGCCGAUAAAAGGGCUAGUUCGA